AUUUAAAUAGUUUAAAAAAAAUAAUGAUUUGUGGUGUCAUAGAUAUAGGUUGUCUAUUUUAAAUC
RNAcentral lists this transfer RNA (65 nucleotides) under Rheocricotopus villiculus. Its description in RNAcentral is "tRNA-His". Lineage: Eukaryota; Metazoa; Arthropoda; Insecta; Diptera; Chironomidae. The record is from RNAcentral.